AAUUUUUUUUUUUUUUUUUAAAGUUUAAACUUUUUUUGUCUCUAAAUAAAUAUUAAUUUUAGUUGCAUGGGUAACGUGGCACUUCCAUUAUCUCAUUAACGUGGAAACUGACUGCAGAAUAUAAUUGUGCAGUCCUCAAAAAUUCAAAUUUUAAUUGGUAAUUUUUUAAUUUAGGCAAAUAACAUAAACUAAACGGUAAACAAUAGAUAUAAAUGAGGUCAUUAGUUGUUAGUGUUUUAUGUUACAAUAAAAAAUGAAAUACAUAGCACCAGAGGAAGCCUCCUAAACUGAAAAGGCAAAUAACAUAAACUAAAAGGGAAACGAUAGAUAUAAAUGAGGUCAUUUUCCAAUAGUGUGGAUCUCCGGUAAAACCAGAGGUGUUUCGCUUAUUAACACUUAAACAUCCACUACAUUUUGUGCUAAUGAAUGUUAUUUCAUUAGUUUCUCAGUUUCUUUAGCUAUGCAGUUAAAUUCUAAGGUAAUGCAGAAAUCCUGAGGUGAACUUCAAUAAGAAACUUGUGAAACUCUGCUAGAAGCCACAGUUCUCAAUGGAACACAGAACAUUCAUAUGAUAUCUUUGCAACGGUUGCAGAUAAAAUAUCUUGUACAAUAUGUAUAAAGAUAGAAAAAUAUUAGAAUCAAGAACAAGGCUACUUUUCACCGAGCAAAAGAGCCUUCAAAAUAGCUUCACUCACCCGAGGAACGUAGGGGAACAAGUGUCCAGCACCAGGCAACUCAUGGUAGUGAAUCCAUGGAAGUUUUUGGGCAACAUAACGCUGCAAUGUUACUGGCACCAUCCUGUCUUCAUCUCCUUGCCAUAGAUGGACCGAGCCUUCAUUGUUAGGAAAAGGAUUUUCAAUAUCCAUAGGAUCAAAUUCCCAUUUCCCAAAUCCAACCAUCAGGUCACGAUGUAGGGAUUCAAAUUCCCCUUGUUGGGUUGCCUUUUCUAAAAAAAAAUAAAAUAUGAGAAAUGGCAAUAUAUCACGGCUAAGGCCAUAUUCAGCAAUAUUAGUUAUUUAGUUAUUUUAAUAGCUGCCAGCUGUUAAAUAUUAGUUAUUUAUAUAAUGAUUUAAAGCAAAAAUACUUGAUAAAAUAGUUGUUGAGUCAGCUGUUAAAUGUAAAAAUAUUAACAUUAUCUUGUCGACUCUAGUAAAAACGCUCCUCAACUUUUAGGGUCAAAACACUAAACAGUACUUUAAAAACAGUUGUUGAAUAGGGUCUAAAUAUUAUGAGAAAGUGCAACAAGUCAACAAUGGCUUGUAAUGGUACAUAGAGAAUGAAGUACCUUGGGUGUUUGACUCCCAGCAACUGUGGAAAGAAGUUCCAGAUCUUGUCGAGAGAAAACCUCAGGCCUUCUGGCAGCAACAGCUGAUGCAGGAAACCAUUUCUGCGUGUUCCACCAGUAGGUUAGCCAUGGAGUAUAGUGAGCAACACGUAGUGUCCAUUGGUCUUGUUGCAGCUGUAGGUAGUACGCCUCUCUAGACAAGUUGGCAGGAAAGCUAGGCCACCAAUAGUUGACAACAGGAGCAAUCAGUGUUGCUCCUGAUAGCCUAUGAGGGAUGUACUUGAGGCAGCCCCAAACCACCUGGCCUCCCAUGGAAAACCCAAUUACAUAAAAUUUUGAUCCCAGUCCUAAAUGAUCAGCAAGCUCCUCUAUAUCAGAAGCCAAACUCUUUGGAGUUCGCUUUGAAUCUGGAUCACUUUCUCCAUAACCUGGCCGGUCAAAAGACACAAAAUAUACACCUAGCUCCUCCAUUACUUCCUGAAAAUGAAAAAUAUAAAGGAAAGAAGAUGACUAAUUUCUCCAGAAAACUAAAACUAAAAAACCUCUAGAUUAAUGAAACUUUUAGAAUUAUUACUAAUAUAAAUUUAAAAUAGAAGGUGAAGCACCAGAGGGAGGCUUGUUAAACCCCCAAUAGCAUCUUUGGAGGAGGAAAAGCCAUGAACAUAUAUGAUCUUGUAUUUUGCAGUUUCUCUUGAUACACCAUGCUCCUUAUAGGCCAAAUGCCUUCCGUCUCUCAGCUUUAUUCUAGGUGCCGUGAUGGGAGGCCCACCUAGGCUGCCACAAAGCUUGGGAGGCGGAGGGUAGGCAGCCUGAUAUGCCCAUGCCAGGAACCCAAUCAACAAAACCACUGCAAUUUCCCUGAACAUCCCUACAAAGAAUUAAAACAUUUCUUCAAAAGCUGCGCUAAAGUCGGGGAAAUUAUUAAUUUACCUGACAAAAAAUAGUUACCCAGACCGCGAAGAUUACUUAAAAUAUUAAUCAAAACGAUAAAAAUUUGUCUAAAAGUUUGGCCAAAACCAUUAGAUUAUAAUCAACAAAAGAUUAACUGAUAAAUCAAGUCCAAACAAAGGUAUGUAAAAGAAACUUACAAAUUAAAGAAAAAUCUCCUUAAAAUUUAUGGGAAUAGAGACUUUCUAAACUAUGACAAAUCCACAGAGAGUACUUGAAAAGCAAACAAAAAAAAAAAAGGGCUGUGUGCAACUUACCUUAAAUCACAUUGUAUGCCCUCAGAAGAGCUUUAAGUACUGAUAAGUCAUUCCAGAAUAUUCCAAAAGAAAAAAUAAAUACCAAGAUAAACAAAAUUGGCAUUCAUUCGCUGAUGAAUUAGGUGAAGAAAAUAAUUGCUGGCAUUCAAUUCUUUGAUAUAGUAGUAGAUCCAUAGUCUCCACAUAGGAAAGUAAAAACCCAGUUCAUAAUCCAUACCUGUUAGAUUAAUUAUCAAGAAACUUCAAAACCUGGACCACAAAAAUAAAAAUGAAGUAUGCUAAAAAGUAAUGACCUGAAGAGAAGGGAAAUGAAAAGAGAGAGGAGACCUGAAAGAAACUGAAGUGGCAAAUACCAAUUGAACCACCAAAAAAGUAGGCUUUCAAGACUAAAAAGAAACAGCAGAAAAGUAGGAGCUCCAAGGACUCCAACACCUUUAAUUGAUGGAAGAUAAUUAAGACAAAGUAACAGUACCUAAUACCUACCAGAAGAAGUUGAAGAUGGUUCCAAAUAUCCCAACAACCCUUUGAUUUAACCAUAUAUAAGAUAAACAUUUUUU
This 3047-nucleotide unclassified non-coding RNA is filed under the name Hevea brasiliensis (rubber tree). The record is from RNAcentral. Lineage: Eukaryota; Viridiplantae; Streptophyta; Magnoliopsida; Malpighiales; Euphorbiaceae.